GACCGAUAGUGAACCAGUACCGUGAGGGAAAGGCGAAAAGAACCCCGGCGAGGGGAGUGAAAAAGAACCUGAAACCGUGUACGUACAAGCAGUGGGAGCACAGGUUUACCUGUGUGACUGCGUACCUUUUGUAUAAUGGGUCAGCGACUUAUAUUCUGUAGCAAGGUUAACCGUAUAGGGGAGCCGGAGGGAAACCGAGUCUUAACCGGGCGUUAAGUUGCAGGGUAUAGACCCGAAACCCGGUGAUCUAGCCAUGGGCAGGUUGAAGGUUGGGUAACACUAACUGGAGGACCGAACCGACUAAUGUUGAAAAAUUAGCGGAUGACCUGUGGCUGGGGGUGAAAGGCCAAUCAAACCGGGAGAUAGCUGGUUCUCCCCGAAAGCUAUUUAGGUAGCGCCUCGUGAAUUCAUCUCCGGGGGUAGAGCACUGUUUCGGCUAGGGGGCCAUCCCGGCUUACCAACCCGAUGCAAACUGCGAAUACCGGAGAAUGUUAUCACGGGAGACACACGGCGGGUGCUAACGUCCGUCGUGAAGAGGGAAACAACCCAGACCGCCAGCUAAGGUCCCAAAGUCAUGGUUAAGUGGGAAACGAUGUGGGAAGGCCCAGACAGCCAGGAUGUUGGCUUAGAAGCAGCCAUCAUUUAAAGAAAGCGUAAUAGCUCACUGGUCGAGUCGGCCUGCGCGGAAGAUGUAACGGGGCUAAACCAUGCACCGAAGCUGCGGCAGCGACACUGUGUGUUGUUGGGUAGGGGAGCGUUCUGUAAGCCUGUGAAGGUGUGUCGUGAGGCAUGCUGGAGGUAUCAGAAGUGCGAAUGCUGACAUAAGUAACGAUAAAGCGGGUGAAAAGCCCGCUCGCCGGAAGACCAAGGGUUCCUGUCCAACGUUAAUCGGGGCAGGGUGAGUCGACCCCUAAGGCGAGGCCGAAAGGCGUAGUCGAUGGGAAACGGGUUAAUAUUCCCGUACUUGGUGUUACUGCGAAGGGGGGACGGAGAAGGCUAUGUUGGCCGGGCGACGGUUGUCCCGGUUUAAGCGUGUAGGUGUGUGUUCCAGGUAAAUCCGGUUCACUUUAACACUGAGGCGUGACGACGAGGCACUACGGUGCUGAAGCAACAAAUGCCCUGCUUCCAGGAAAAGCCUCUAAGCAUCAGGUAACAUCAAAUCGUACCCCAAACCGACACAGGUGGUCAGGUAGAGAAUACCAAGGCGCUUGAGAGAACUCGGGUGAAGGAACUAGGCAAAAUGGUGCCGUAACUUCGGGAGAAGGCACGCUGACACGUAGGUGAAGUGAUUUACUCAUGGAGCUGAAGUCAGUCGAAGAUACCAGCUGGCUGCAACUGUUUAUUAAAAACACAGCACUGUGCAAACACGAAAGUGGACGUAUACGGUGUGACGCCUGCCCGGUGCCGGAAGGUUAAUUGAUGGGGUCAGCGCAAGCGAAGCUCCUGAUCGAAGCCCCGGUAAACGGCGGCCGUAACUAUAACGGUCCUAAGGUAGCGAAAUUCCUUGUCGGGUAAGUUCCGACCUGCACGAAUGGCGUAAUGAUGGCCAGGCUGUCUCCACCCGAGACUCAGUGAAAUUGAACUCGCUGUGAAGAUGCAGUGUACCCGCGGCAAGACGGAAAGACCCCGUGAACCUUUACUAUAGCUUGACACUGAACAUUGAGCCUUGAUGUGUAGGAUAGGUGGGAGGCUUUGAAGCGUGGACGCCAGUCUGCGUGGAGCCGACCUUGAAAUACCACCCUUUAAUGUUUGAUGUUCUAACGUGGACCCGU
This 1772-nucleotide ribosomal RNA is filed under the name Salmonella enterica subsp. enterica serovar Stanley. Its description in RNAcentral is "partial 23S ribosomal RNA". It matches the Rfam family "Bacterial large subunit ribosomal RNA", at positions 482 to 2236 of the family's 2925-position model. Lineage: Bacteria; Pseudomonadati; Pseudomonadota; Gammaproteobacteria; Enterobacterales; Enterobacteriaceae. The record is from RNAcentral.